AUUGAACGCUGGCGGCAGGCCUAACACAUGCAAGUCGAACGGUAACAGGAAGCAGCUUGCUGCUUCGCUGACGAGUGGCGGACGGGUGAGUAAUGUCUGGGAAACUGCCUGAUGGAGGGGGAUAACUACUGGAAACGGUAGCUAAUACCGCAUAACGUCGCAAGACCAAAGAGGGGGACCUUAUGUCCGCGUGCCAGCGUGUGUGCCCAGAUGGGAUUAGCUAGGAGGUGGGGUAACGUCUCACCUAGGCGACGAUCCCUAGCUGGUGUGAGAGGCUGAGAAGCCACACUAGAGCUGAGACACGGACCAGGCUCCUGAGGGAGGCAGCAGUGGGGAAUAUUGCACAGUGGGGGCAAGCCUGAUGCAGCCAUGGCGCGUGUAUGACGAAGACGUCGGGGUUGUAAAGUACUUUCAGCGGGGAGAAAGGGAGUAAAGUUAAUACCUUUGGUCAUUGACGUUACCCGCAGAAGAAGCACCGGCUAACUCCGUG
Molecule: ribosomal RNA, 490 nt
Filed under: uncultured bacterium
Lineage: Bacteria
Description: partial 16S ribosomal RNA
Rfam family: Bacterial small subunit ribosomal RNA
Source: RNAcentral